RNAcentral lists this ribosomal RNA (783 nucleotides) under uncultured Syntrophaceae bacterium. RNAcentral describes it as "bacterial SSU rRNA". It matches the Rfam family "Bacterial small subunit ribosomal RNA", at positions 561 to 1341 of the family's 1533-position model. Lineage: Bacteria; Pseudomonadati; Thermodesulfobacteriota; Syntrophia; Syntrophales; Syntrophaceae. The record is from RNAcentral.
UAAAGAGCGUGUAGGCGGCCGGAUGUGUCAGAUGUGAAAGCCCUGGGCUUAACUCAGGAAGUGCAUUUGAAACUGUUCGGCUUGAGUAGGGGAGAGGGAAGUGGAAUUCCUGGUGUAGAGGUGAAAUUCGUAGAUAUCAGGAGGAACACCGGUGGCGAAGGCGACUUCCUGGCCCUAUACUGACGCUGAGACGCGAGAGCGUGGGUAGCAAACAGGAUUAGAUACCCUGGUAGUCCACGCCGUAAACGAUGUUCACUAGGUGUUGGGGGUAUUGACCCCCUCAGUGCCGGAGCUAACGCAUUAAGUGAACCGCCUGGGGAGUACGGUCGCAAGACUAAAACUCAAAGGAAUUGACGGGGGCCCGCACAAGCGGUGGAGCAUGUGGUUUAAUUCGAUGCAACGCGAAGAACCUUACCUGGGCUUGACAUCCACGGAACCUGCUGGAAACAGUAGGGUGCCCUUCGGGGAGCCGUGAGACAGGUGCUGCAUGGGCUGUCGUCAGCUCGUGUCGUGAGAUGUUGGGUUAAGUCCCGCAACGAGCGCAACCCUUGUCUUUAAUUGCCAUCAUUCAGUUGGGCACUUUAGAGAGACUGCCGGUGUUAAACCGGAGGAAGGUGGGGAUGACGUCAAGUCCUCAUGGCCUUUAUGCCCAGGGCUACACACGUGCUACAAUGGGUGGUACAAAGAGCUGCAAACUCGCGAGAGUAAGCGAAUCUCACAAAGCCGAUCGUAGUCCGGAUUGGAGUCUGCAACUCGACUCCAUGAAGUCGGAAUCGCUAGUAA